CCUGAGGACAGGAACCACAUCGGUUUUGUUCACCACUGUAUCCCCAGUGUAGAGGAGAGGACCAGGCACAAAGAUGCAAUUUGGGUGCGCGAUUGCAUCUGAGACCCAGAAUCCGAGAUGUAGGCAGAGAGGAGAACUUCGACUGGAAAACUGGAGCCCCAGCUCUAGGGAGGUACAUUUAUGCAAACCGGC
Molecule: long non-coding RNA, 192 nt
Organism: Gorilla gorilla gorilla (western lowland gorilla)
Lineage: Eukaryota; Metazoa; Chordata; Mammalia; Primates; Hominidae
Exons: 3
Source: RefSeq, a predicted model, not a curated record